Molecule: long non-coding RNA, 860 nt
Organism: Haplochromis burtoni (Burton's mouthbrooder)
Lineage: Eukaryota; Metazoa; Chordata; Actinopteri; Cichliformes; Cichlidae
Exons: 3
Source: RefSeq, a predicted model, not a curated record
CUCACUGCACUGUAUCACCCCAAUAGAGCACGUUGCUCUCAGACUGCGGGCUUACUUGUGGGUCCUUUAAAAGUAGAAUGGGAGGCAGAGGCUUCAGCUUUCAGGCCCCUCUUCUGUGGAACCAGCUCCCAGUUUGGCUUCAAGAGACAGACAUCCUCUGUAUUUUUAAGAUGAGCCUUCGAACUUGGCUUUUUUGACAAAGCAUAUACUUAGGGGUGGACAGGCGACCCUAAAUCCUUCUUUAGUCACGCUGUAAUAGGCCGAGGCUGCCUGGGGGGUCCCAUUAUGCACUGUUUCUUCUUCACUCACCUUUUUUGCUGAGUAUGUGUUUAUACAACACUCUGCGGUUAUUAUUAAUCUCUGUCUCUCCUGAAAGUGUAUCUUUUGUCCCGUCUUCCUCCCCUCUGAUAGGCUGAUAGGCGCCCCUCCCUGAGCCUGGUUCUGACAAAGGUUACUUCCUGUUAAAUGAAAUGGACUACAAGCCGGUGUAGAGAGUUGCAGGGGCACAUGCACGACUGUCUGAAUUGUAUCACAGAAGCCGUAUCUACUUGUUACUGUAGGAUGAAGAUGUAGGUGGAGUGAAUGAUCAUCUUGCUACGAUGUCAUAUUCUUCUUGAAAACUGUAGGCCCUGCUGUUCAGGUAGGGCAACCAGGUGUCAAGAUUUACUUGUAACUGCACAGCAUUUUUAUCCUUUCUUCCUCACGUCCCACAUAUUGAGGCACUGUCCUGCAUUUCUGAUUGUUUCUCACGUUUACUGAAGCCAACACACACACAUGGAUCAAAAAGAGAUGCAGAUCUGUUGGUUUUUGUCUUUUGCCCUUCUCCCCCGUCCCUCUUCUCAGCUGUUUCUCUUUCCCUC